RNAcentral lists this ribosomal RNA (1479 nucleotides) under metagenome. Its description in RNAcentral is "bacterial SSU rRNA". It matches the Rfam family "Bacterial small subunit ribosomal RNA". The record is from RNAcentral.
AGAGUUUGAUCCUGGCUCAGAACGAACGCUGGCGGCGCGUUUUAAGCAUGCAAGUCGAUCGGCAGCUGGGUAACUUCGGUUACCUGUAGGCGAGAGGCGAACGGGUGAGUAACGCGUAGAUAAUCUGCCCUCAAGUUUGGGAUAACAUCUGGAAACAGGUGCUAAUACCGGAUGUGGUGCUUCGGCACUAAAGUGGUGACACGCUUGGGGAUGAGUCUGCGUCCAAUUAGCUAGUUGGUAGGGUAAGAGCCUACCAAGGCGACGAUUGGUAGCCGGCCUGAGAGGGUGAACGGCCACAUUGGGACUGAGAUACGGCCCAGACUCCUACGGGAGGCAGCAGCUAAGAAUCUUCCGCAAUGGACGAAAGUCUGACGGAGCGACGCCGCGUGAAUGAUGAAGGCCCUAUCGGGUUGUAAAAUUCUUUUCUACAGGAAGAAAACCUACUUGUGUAGGCCUGACGGUACUGUAGGAAUAAGCCCCGGCUAAUUACGUGCCAGCAGCCGCGGUAAUACGUAAGGGGCUAGCGUUGUUCGGAAUUAUUGGGCGUAAAGGGUGCGUAGGCGGAUUACUAAGUGGGAUGUGAAAAUUCUGGGCUCAACCCAGAACCUGCGUUCCAAACUGGUAGUCUUGAGUAUAGGAGAGGAAUUCGGAAUUCCUGGUGUAGGGGUGAAAUCUAUAGAUAUCAGGAAGAACACCGAAGGCGAAGGCAGAAUUCUGGCCUAUUACUGACGCUGAGGCACGAAAGCUAGGGGAGCGAACGGGAUUAGAUACCCCGGUAGUCCUAGCCGUAAACGUUGUAUACUAGGUGUAUGAGGCAUUCAGACUUCAUGUGCCGAAGCUAACGCGAUAAGUAUACCGCCUGGGGAGUAUGCGCGCAAGCGUGAAACUCAAAGGAAUUGACGGGGGCCCGCACAAGCGGUGGAGCAUGUGGUUUAAUUCGAAAAUACGCGAAGAACCUUACCUAGGUUUGACAUGGACUGGACAGAUGGCGAAAGUCAUUUUCCCUACGGGGCUGGUUCACAGGUGCUGCAUGGCUGUCGUCAGCUCGUGUCGUGAGAUGUUGGGUUAAGUCCCGCAACGAGCGCAACCCUCAUGUUUUGUUACCAUCAUUAAGUUGGGUACUCGGAACAAACUGCCGAUGGAAAAUCGGAGGAAGGUGGGGAUGACGUCAAGUCCUCAUGGCCUUUAUAUCUAGGGCUACACACGUGCUACAAUGAGUGAUACAGAGUGUUGCUAAACCGCGAGGUCACGCUAAUCACAAAAAAUCAUCCUCAGUACAGAUUGGAGUCUGAAACUCGACUCCAUGAAGUCGGAAUCGCUAGUAAUCGCAGAUCAUGCUGCGGUGAAUACGUUCCCGGGCCUUGUACACACCGCCCGUCACACCACCCGAGUUGGUUCUACCCGAAGUCGCUGAUUUAACCGCAAGGAAAUAGGCGCCGAAGGUAGGGCUGAUAAGGGGGGUGAAGUCGUAACAAGGUA